Lagopus leucura (white-tailed ptarmigan) is the source of this 99-nucleotide long non-coding RNA. RefSeq lists it as uncharacterized. The transcript has 3 exons. Lineage: Eukaryota; Metazoa; Chordata; Aves; Galliformes; Phasianidae. The record is from RefSeq and is a predicted model, not a curated record.
UCUCAGGCUUGUUUGGUGUUUAAGCUGGAAAAUGCUGAAUUCUGGAGAGCCACAAGGAACAGACACUGCUAACAGAAUCUGCUGGAGACCUUACCGUCC